RNAcentral lists this ribosomal RNA (380 nucleotides) under uncultured bacterium. RNAcentral's name for it is "partial 16S ribosomal RNA". It matches the Rfam family "Bacterial small subunit ribosomal RNA", at positions 338 to 732 of the family's 1533-position model. The record is from RNAcentral.
CCUACGGGUGGCAGCAGUGGGGAAUAUUGGGCAAUGGGCGCACGCCUGACCCAGCAACGCCGCGUGAAGGAAGAAUGCUUUCUGGUUGUAAACUUCUUUUGUCAGGGACGAAGCAAGUGACGGUACCUGACGAAUCAGCCACGGCUAACUACGUGCCAACAGCCGCGGUUAUACGGAGGGCGCAAGCGUUAUCCGGAUUUACUGGGUUGAAAGGGGGUGUUGGCGGGAAAGCAAGUUAGGUGGGAAAACCACGGGCUCAACCCAUGGCCUGCCUUUGAAACUGGUGUUCUUGAGUGCGGGAGAAGCAUGCGGAAUGCGGGGUGUAGCGGUGAAAUGCGUAGAUAUAAGGAAGAACACCAGUGGCGAAGGCAGAUUGCUGG